This is a long non-coding RNA of Sinocyclocheilus grahami, 269 nucleotides long. RefSeq lists it as uncharacterized. The record is from RefSeq and is a predicted model, not a curated record. The transcript has 3 exons. Lineage: Eukaryota; Metazoa; Chordata; Actinopteri; Cypriniformes; Cyprinidae.
CUUCCUCUGUCGCCUGCUCACUUCCUGUUUCUGCGUCUGAGGGCCCAACGGUGCAGUGAUGAUUAGCCGGGCCUUUGCGUGACAAUCAAGCAGCCAGACACACUUAGUUUCCCCCAUUCAGACCGGAAGCAGCACUAUUGCAACGAAUCAUCUGUGAAAUCUGUCUGCGCCCUUUCAAAAACAGGAAGUGUGACUGAGAUCUGAUAAAGACCCUCUCAAUUUCAUCCAGAUCACAUGGGCAUCAGUCAUCAGAACAACCUCCUCGACAG